UUUAAUCUAAUUGAUUAUUUGAAAAAUAAUAUCAAAACAAAAAUAAUAUAUCCAUUAAUAUGACGCAUAAUUGUGCUCAUUUCAACUCUUCAAUUUUUUUAAUUGUGGCCAGAUGAAAGUGAAGAAAAGUAUGAUAGGAGGGGGAAAAGUGGAUAAACUGAGUACAUAUGUAACUAAAUUUAACAUAAAAUGUUAAAGUAAAUCAACUGCUAGUUGCAAACAGAAGAAACGAGAGCAAUGUACAAGGACGAAGCAAACAAGACAAUGCACAAUGUUGGCAAUUUAAGGUAUAUGUUCAGCAUAACAAUAACUAGUUUACUUUUAACUUCUGUUGUUUUCAAGUCACCAUAUUUUGUUUAUUCAACCUUAGACACACAACAGAAAAAAGGUUUGAUAAGUUCUAAGUUUAACAUACCAAACAAGAAACGACGUAGAUUAGCAGUACUUAAUAACAAAACGGCAAUGCUGAAAGAUAACACGCGCUUAAUUGUCACACACUUCUAGUUCUUAACAUUUGGAGCAGCUGCACCGAGGAAGCUUACCAUAGUCAUUCAGAUGUCAGCUUUGCUUUCCUCCCUCUCUCUUCCUACUAUUUCACUGCAUGAGCAAAAGGCAGAAAUAUCAAACACAAUGAAUCUCCUGAUACUAGUAGAAAUGCAGUUCACUGCUCUUGCGCAUAUGGAUCAUUAACUUAUAUCUAAAGGGUGUAAAUUCAGUUGUCACAAAAGGGUAUAAUUAACUUUUGAAACAAUCGUUUCAAAGGGAGUUCAAGACUUCAAGAGGGUGUCCUCAAAUAUAUAUAUGCAUGCAUGUAUAUAUUACUGUCUCUUUGGUCCUCUUCUACAGGCAGUUACUUCCAGAAACUGCAGUUCUAAUUUAUACAUAGCCAAGAAUAUAUGCAACUAAGGUCAAACACUUAUACCAUAACUGCAGAAUCAUUUGACAAAGGAUUUUCUAUUGGGAAAUGAUUGGCAUCAAUUAUUCGCACAGGAUGAUGAUUCAGGGCAUGGGAUCAAAUUUUCCAAGAGAUUAGGACUGAAAUGAUUCAAGGACUGGUUCCUGGUAUUAUCUAUGUCAUUGCUUCAACAGUUCAGGUAAGCACCAAGGAGCAAAGUAGCCGGAGUAAACUAUAACAUGGAAAAAAGUAUUCCUCCUCCUCAACAAAAAAGAACCCAUUCCUUCCAAUAUCAGGUACAGGGGCUUUAUGAUUCCAGAAGAGUUAAAACUGUCCAUUUACAAAUUAAUUAAUGAAUGAGUGAAUGAAACAUGUAGCACUUUUUUAGACUGGCUGUGAGUUAAAAAGCCCCAUCAGUUCCAAUAUAUCAAACGAUAAUCCCAUUCAUUUGGUCCCUGUGAAGUGCGGUUGGGAGCUCCUCAUCAUGCUUAUAAGGCUUUUGUGUCUUUCUUAAUACAAUUUAACAAAUUACCCAUAAAAACAUAUACAUAUUCAAUGUCAGAUUUAUAAUGAAUUAGUGGUUAAGAAACCAACCGGAGCAUUUCAGUGAGAGUGGCAGCGGUAUUCAACUCGCCGGCUUCCCUUGCUUUCAGUAUGCGGAACAUAAGAGCAAGUUUAACCUGUCAACAACCCAUCACAUGGUUAAAGCUGCCCUAAGAUCUAAGGAAGAGCCUUGCUAAUGAAACCCUUCCCACAAUUUGUAAUAUACUAAAGAAAAAGGAGCAAGUUUAACCUGAGUUCUGGCACUUUGCUGGAUUAUGAGCCUAGUUUCCCUCUUCAAUUCCUCGCACUCGGAUUCGAUGAUUCCGAAUUUUUCUUUAACUUGCCUUUGCCCUUCCCUGAUAUUCUUUUGUUCCUCGCUUAUUUCUUCCAUUUCAGAUUUCAAUCUUUUGAAGCUUUCCUCCAUGUUCUUCAUCCCUUUCCUCCCCUGAUCCCCAUAUCAAUUGUAAAUUAGCAAGAUAUGGCAACGAAAAUUAGCAAAAAGAGCAACCGAAAAAGAUUAUAAUUACAUGCUUGGCUUUGGAUUUGAGACGCCUCUUGCUUAGCGCAGAAGCCUGAAGACGGCUACGUAAAGAGAAUGGAGCCAUAGUUUCAGAGGCAAAAGUUUUUCCUCCUUAAAACCUUAAAACUUAAUAUAUGCAAAUAUUUCCUCCACCAUAUAUAAUCGAAGACAAAUUUGUUUCCUCCUCUGUCGAUAACGCACGAUAUUGGUCGAUAAGCGGACGCAAUCGCGCGUUUUACCAUUAUUAGUAGAAAAAAGGAACAUGGCCCCACAUGCUAAAGUAAGCUCGCUCGCUCGCUCGCGCGAUAUACAUCCAUUAGCGCGAUAAUGGAUACUACAUCUAAUAAUUUAUUUUUUUAUUAUACUUUUUAUUUUUAUUAUACUUUUUAGUAACAUUAAUAAUUUAUUUAAUACUUUUUUUAAAUUUUUAAAUAUUAAAAAAUUAAUUGUUGAUGUGCCAUCUGUACAGACCCAAUUUUACCCGGGCCUAGUACCAAAAAUAUUAACCCAAUCCGGCCCAAAUCAGAAAACAAAAACAAUUAACCACUACCCAAACAGACCCAAAAACAAGCCCAAACUAACCCACAGCCCAAAACCUAAAAAACCCAAUACCCAUUUUCAGAAAAAAAACAAAAGAAAACCCCAGCCCCCUAACCCUAGCCGCCGCACCUAGCCCACUUGCCCUGCCACCGCCACUUCUGACCAGCACCGCCACGGUCACGUCGCCUCACCCACCUGCACCUACAGCACCUGCAAAACAAAGACCAAACACGCAACAACCAGGGCAAAAAGAAGAAACAACAGAGAAAUGAAAAAAAAGAGAAGAAAACGAUUGUAAUACUCGGCUAUAAAGGCCAUUUUUUUGAUUUCUUUGCUCUCUCUUCUCCCUUUUUAUGAAUACUAAGAAAUAAAAAGCAGAAACCAAGGUGAUUUCCUGGUUUUUUCUGAUUUCAAUCUUUCCUUUUUUUUUUUUUUAUCACUGUUUUUGUUCUUUAUUUUUAUUUAACGAAAAUAUAAAGAGAAAAGAGGAAAACUCACCGGGAUAGGGCUUCGAACGCCGAGCUAGCACUUCGUUGGCCGUCGGAGGCGGUGACGGUGUGGCGAGCGCUAUGGCGGCGCCAUGGCAACUCAAAGGCCGAACAUUUGAAGAGGGGGGGAAGAAAGCUUUUUUUAAAGGUGGCUGCUGAAAUGUUUUUUUUUUGAAGCAAAUCAGGUUUAAAUACCCAGGAUAAAACGGCGUCGUUUGGGCUUAGGGUUCAGAGACCAAAAACGGCGUCGUUUUGGUCUCUGACCCGCGUGGUGACCCGACCCUGGGGGAGGAUCCGUGUGUUUUUUAAAUGGGAUAUUUCGCGAGCUGUCCCUCUGAUUUUUCGGCGCAUUACAAUUUGGUCCUAUUUCGUUAUUUCCUUUUAUUUUGAUUUAGCCCUAACAUUUUACUUUCUGUUUCAUUUUAGUCCAUAGCAGCGCAGCGUUUUGAAUACUUGGUUUAUUUACCAUUUUGGUCCCCCCUUUUUUUGCGCGUGUCACAAUUUAGUCUUUUUAUUCUUUUUUUAUUUCGAAUUCGCCCCCUUUUUUGUGUUUUAUUUUGAUUUAGUCCCUUUUUUAGCAAUUUUAUUAUUUUAUUCAUUAUUUUAAUGUUAUUAUCAUUUAUUAUUAUUAUUAUUAUUAUUAGUUUUAUUUCCCUUUCAUUUAGUCGCUACAAAUUUAUUAAUACAUUAACUAGUUUUUAUUAUUAUUUUAGCUUUACUUUAAUUUCAUAUGCAUAUAUAUACAUACUUACAUACUCUUAUUAAUAUAUGCAAAUAUUUCCUCCUUCACCAUAUAUAAUCGAAGACAAAUUUAUUUCCUCCUCUGUCGAUAACGCACGAUAUUGGUCGAUAAGCGGACGCAAUCGCGCGUUUUACCAUUAUUAGUAGAAAAAAGGAAAAUGGCCCCACAUGCUUAAGUAAGCUCGCUCGCUAGCUCGCGCGAUAUACAUCCAUUAGCGCGAUAAUGGAUACUACAUCUAAUAAUUUAUUUUUUUAUUAUACUUCUUAUUUUUAUUAUACUUUUUAGUAACAUUAAUAAUUUAUUUAAUACUUUUUUUCAAUUUUUAAAUAUUAAAAAAUUAAUUGUUGAUGUGCCAUCUACUAAAAAAAAUCCCAAAACGUUAGGCCAACGCUAUUGAACAAUGUUUACCUGUCAAAUCAUCAUUAAAAAUACUGUUAACUUUUUGUAAAUGUUGUGCGCGCGAGUUCAUUUUCCCUUCGUAAGCUCUCGUGCGAUGUUUAAAAUUUUUUUAUAUGUGUCACCAAAUUAAGUUUCUUUCCUUUGAGGAAAUUAAGGUAUGACGGACAUAAAAUUAAAAUAUAUUUAUUAUGUUUUAUUUAGUUAUUAAUAUAAUAAUAUGAUAGAAAGUUUAUUUAUUAUUAAGUUUAUUCAUUAAAAUAUAUGUUUUUUAUCUCUUUUAGCCCUUGAGUCUACAUUGUUAAAUCACCAAUGAUAGAAAAGUUAACGUUUGUUAACUUUACUGAUGUGAUCACGCCAAUAAUAAAUUAAUUUUUUUUAAAUUUAGAAUAUUUUUUAUUUUUUAUUUUUAUUAUACUUUUUAGUAACAUUAAUAAUUUAUUUUAUAAUUUUUAUUUUUUUUAUUUUUUUAAUUUUUAAAUAUUAAAAAAUUAAUUAUUGAUGUGCCAUCUAUGUGGCAGUCCACAUGUAUGCCACGUCAAUAAAGUUAACAAAUGUUAACUUUUCAAUCCAUUUUACGGAUGAUUUAACAAACAGUACAAUUUCAAGGGCUAGAUGAGGCGAAAAUUUAAAUAAAAUGCUAGAAUGACACCUUUUUUUUAUAUAAAAUUGGAGAGCCAAACAAGUCAUUAUGCCUAAAAAAUAAAAGCUUUUCAAAAUAAGAAAAAAUAUUCUUCUUUUUCCCAAAAGCAAGUCACUUGUGUGGCUAAAAAUUAGUUUAUUACUAACUCAUAUAUUAAAACAUGAUGAAAAAUAAUACUAUUACCAAACGUAGCAUUAAGGUAUGCCGAUAUAGGGAAUCAACAAGGAAGAGUUGGGGGUAGAAGGUGGAGGUUAUUGGAGGGUCAAUUCACCUAUGGCAGGCAUGGAGCCAGAAUAGGGAAUUAAGGGACAAUGAGAAAAGAGGAAGAAGGAAAGGGAAGGGUGAUGCUAGGGUUUUCUUGGAAAGAAAGAAGGACCCUUAGUGUAACAGCCUAAUUUUCAGUAGUGUCAGAAUAGUGAUUUGAGAUCACUAAAUCUGAUGAAAACGUUAGAAAAAUUUAUUAAUUAAUAAUUAUAAGUUCAGCGUGAUUUUAGAAAUAUUUUUGAAUUAGCGAAUUUUGUGAUUUAAAAGAAAUUAUUAGGAAAAUUGGGUAGAAAACGAGGUAUCGAGACCUCGAUAUUAUAAACUGAGCCGUAAAUAUUUUUAUAAAUAUUUACGAAGUGUCAUUAGGGUAGUAUUAAAGUUUCGUUAAGAAAUUUUAAUGUUUCGAUGGUUAAUUGAUUAAAAAGGACUAAAUUGCAACAAGGGUAAAAGUUUAAUUAUAGAUUAAAGAAAAGUUAAAAGGACUAAAUAGGUAAAUAUGCCAAGUCCCAUAAAUGAGGCGGCAUAUGCAUGACAAAAUCUGAGAUUUUUUUUGAAGUAUAUUAUUAUUAUAUUAUUAUAUUAUUAUAUUUUAAAUAAACAAAAUUGUUGACAAAUGUAUGGUGUAUAUGAUGACAUGUGGAAAAAUAAAAUACAUAUAUUAGUAAUUAUUACACAUUUACUUAUUAUUUAAGUAAAUAAUUUUAUAUUAUUAUNNNNNNNNNNNNNNNNNNNNNNNNNNNNNNNNNNNNNNNNNNNNNNNNNNNNNNNNNNNNNNNNNNNNNNNNNNNNNNNNNNNNNNNNNNNNNNNNNNNNAAAGAGAAUAGAAACAGAAUAGCAUGGACGAAACAGAGAAGGAAAGAAGGAAAGAAAGAAAAGAAAGAAAGAAAAGAGAAAAUUGAGGUUUUGAGGUUCUAAGCUCAUUUGCUAAUGUCGUGCAAGAGUUAUUGUCCGAGAAAGGAAAAGAGAAGGUGAACAAGGAGUGACUCGAGAGAAAUUUCAGUUAGUAUUAUCAUAAUUUAAAUCUAAUUAUUAUUAAUUAUUGUGUUUUAAUUAGAAUGUAUGGUAAAUAAAUAAAGUAAGAAAUUUGGUAUGAUAAUAUUUCUUUGAAUGGAGUAGAUUUCUAGUGAAUAUAAUUAUUGAGAUUAAGUACUGAUAUUGAACUGAAUGAAAUUAGAUUGAAUUGUGAUUAUAUGUGAGUAAUUGAGAUGAAUAUUGAAUUAAGAAAGUGAAAUUGAAAUGUGAUUAUUGAAUAGAAAUUGAAAUGGUUUGAAUUGAAUCAUUGAAUUGAAUUGGAAUAUUGAAAUUGGUGAUUGAUAUGGAUUUUAUUGGAAUUGAAUUGAGAAAGUGGAAAUUGAUAUGUGAGAUUGAUACUGAACUGAAUUAGUGAAUACUGGAUAUUGUUGAGUACUGAGUGAAUUAUGAAAAUACUGAAUAUUGUUAUGUAUAAUGCAUUGAAUUAUGAAAUUACUGAAGUAAUAAAUUACUAUAAUACUGUGAAACUGAUUGAAAUAAGGAAUUUAUAAUUGAUACUGAACUAAGACGAAAAUUGUACUGAAAAGUGAGUUAAAUACCCUAUUAACUAGUCGGGCUAGUCGGAUAUAGUUGGCAUGCCAUAGGAUAUGGAAAAGUACGCCGACUACUGUUACUGUUACUGAUUCGGCACUUUGUGUGUCGAAUACUGUUACUGUUACUGUUACCGUUAUCGAUUCGGCACCUUGUGUGUCGAACACUGUUACCGUUACUGAUUACUGUUACUGGUGUGUUUGGUUGGGAUCCGUGUAUCCGCCAAAGUCCGAGUCAAGUUAAUAGGGGUAAAUGAAUAAUUUUGAUAAUAUAAAUUUUAUUGAAUGAUCUUGAAUAUGAAUCAAAAUGAGAUAUUAAAUUGACAUAUGGAAAUAAAAUGUAUGAACUAGCGGUUCAAGAAAUAGAUAAUGAUAUAGUUCAUGAAAUGGUUUUGAUAGUAUGAGAUGAUGUAAAAUUAUAAGUAAAGAAAAGCAAAUUGAAAUAGCUAUUGUUGAGAAAUGAGAAGUGAAAAUAAAAAGACUUGAAAUAGUGAAAUAAUAUGAAAAUUUAAUACAAGUUAUUAAAACUUAUUUAUGGAUUUAAUGUACAAAUUGAGUGUUAAAAGAUCUUAAGUGUAAAUUGAUUAUAAAUUAUGGUAAUACCACUGAGUAUUCCCAUGCUCAGCGUACGGUUGUUUCCGUGCGCAGGUUAGUAGAAAGUCAGUGUCGCUCCAGCAUCCAAAGUAAUCCCGACUUCAGAGAAACUUUAGUGAUGUACCUUUCAUUUGAUAACGUGGCAUGUACCUAAGUAUUGUAUAUACCUAAGUGAUUUAUAGGGAUUAGUCAUUUUGAAUGUUUGUAUCUAUGAUAUUGCUAAAGGAAGAUGUGUGAGUAUGUGAUAAUGUUUGGCUUUUAAAAUGGUUAAGUAUGAAUAUGUUUGGUAAUAUGUANNNNNNNNNNNNNNNNNNNNNNNNNNNNNNNNNNNNNNNNNNNNNNNNNNNNNNNNNNNNNNNNNNNNNNNNNNNNNNNNNNNNNNNNNNNNNNNNNNNNNNNNNNNNNNNNNNNNNNNNNNNNNNNNNNNNNNNNNNNNNNNNNNNNNNNNNNNNNNNNNNNNNNNNNNNNNNNNNNNNNNNNNNNNNNNNNNNNNNNNNNNNNNNNNNNNNNNNNNNNNNNNNNNNNNNNNNNNNNNNNNNNNNNNNNNNNNNNNNNNNNNNNNNNNNNNNNNNNNNNNNNNNNNNNNNNNNNNNNNNNNNNNNNNNNNNNNNNNNNNNNNNNNNNNNNNNNNNNNNNNNNNNNNNNNNNNNNNNNNNNNNNNNNNNNNNNNNNNNNNNNNNNNNNNNNNNNNNNNNNNNNNNNNNNNNNNNNNNNNNNNNNNNNNNNNNNNNNNNNNNNNNNNNNNNNNNNNNNNNNNNNNNNNNNNNNNNNNNNNNNNNNNNNNNNNNNNNNNNNNNNNNNNNNNNNNNNNNNNNNNNNNNNNNNNNNNNNNNNNNNNNNNNNNNNNNNNNNNNNNCGUAGCUCGAGUUAUAAUUAAUUUAGUAACUGUUGCACGAUUGGACAAAUUUACUGUAAUUAGUGAAAUUAAUUUUCAAAACAAGUUUUUAUGCUUCGAAUUAGUGUGAUAAGCUAAGUAAUGCCUCGUGCUCGACUCCGGCAACGAUCUCGGGUAAGGGGUGUUACAAGUAAUUUAUAUGCUUAGAUUCCUUAUUGAGUCUAUUUUCUGUAGAAACAAGUAAUAACUUCAUAUGAAAAUCCUACAAUGAGAAAAUUUAUUUUUAGUGGCAAGAGGUCAGGACAGUCAAGUGGUGAAACAGGGGAGACUUUAACUAAUAAACUGUACUAAUUGGCUGAACCAAAAAUUCUAAAAAUUUUAUAGUAGGAAGAUAUAUGAAUCUAGUUUCAGGGAAAAUUUACGGAAUUAAAUUUUGAGUCUCGUAGCUCGAGUUAUAAUUAAUUUAGUAACUGUUGCACGAUUGGACAAAUUUGCUGUAAUUAGUGAAAUUAAUUUUCAAAACAAGUUUUUAUGCUUCGAAUUAGUGUGAUAAGCUAAGUAAUGUCUCGUGCUUGACUCCGGCAAUGGUCUCGGGUAAGGGGUGCUACACUUAGCCUUCAUGCUUCAGGAUAUAUAUACGGGAAGGUGAUCUAUCGUAAUUCGGUGUAACAAAUUAAACUAGUUUUCAUACUUAAUGAGCUCAAAUACAAGCAAUUUCAUUAUGUUUUAGUUUGUUUUUCUAUUUUAGUUUUGACUCAAUAAAAAGUCUAGAUUGAGUCAUUUUAUGACCUUAGUGGCUGAAUGAGGAUUAAUGGUGAGUUAACAUACUUAGUGAGUGUACAGGACAUCAUUCAAAGCCAAAACAGCUCAAGGUUGGUCGCUGUGUUGCUACACGAGAAGUCCAAUAUCGCAACAUAAAGAAUAGAAUACAAUAAUUCCAAAACUGCUUUUGGUGCCGCGACACACCCCUGAAGCAGAACUGUGUAAUCAUUGGUGUAAGAUACAACUCUCCAACCUUUGCUUCUGCUCUUGCUAACUUAAUCCCAGCUUUCACUUUUGUGCUUGUUGUUAUCUUCAAGUUCGUCUCUGCUGUUAUGCCAUUUGUUUUUAUAGUAUAAGGCAUAAUUAACUGUCUUUGAUCUUUGCUGCUAUGCCAAGACUUUCUCCACCAAUUCAACCGCAUUUACACCCAUCUCUUUCUACCAUGUUAACAACAUCUAACAAUUGGCUCAUAGGUGGCCUCUUCAUCGCUACUGCCUCUUUGUCACUUUUAGCAAAAAUCGUUGGUUAGGUAAUUUAAUAUGCUAUUUCAUAAUCCACGAUGAUUUGGCUACUUCAAAUUGAUACUUUCCCUACUAAAUUUGAAGGAUAUAGUUCUGAAAGGGUAUCCAUAACAGAUAGCGUUGGUUUCCUUCUAUUGCCUCUUUGGGUCCAUUCAAUCUGCAUUGAUUACUUUGAUUUUGAAAGAGACCCAAACUCUUGGAUGUUGAGUCUUGAUAUCGAGCUCAUUUCUGUGGUCUACUCAGUAAGCAAACUGCAACUCCCCAUGUUAGCUUUGUCAUUUUGGCAAAUCGAAGCUUUGUAAUUGAGACAAAUUUCGUUUCAGGCUUUAUUUGGAAAUAUGGUAACAUUCAGCGUGCAAGCAUGGUUCAUAUAGCGUAAAGGUCUCGUCUUUGUGGCCACACUAUUGCUGCCUUCUUGGGGUUCGUUUUCCUUGGGGAUGAUGGUGAAGAAGGAAUAGAGGGAAAGAAGGAUAAGGCAAUGGUGGGAGGUCUGUAAAAAAGUAAAGGGGUUUGUGAUAAGGGAAAGGAUGGUGGGAAAGGGGGAGGGGGAUGGGAGAGGGAUGUAAAAUGGCAUUUCUAUUAAGUGAAUAACAGAAAAGGAUAGCUCCGUUACAGACGUAACGAAAAAUGGUUAGUGGUAACUGUUUUAUUAUUUUUUAAUAAUUGAGUAACUGAAUUGAAACUUGAGUGACUGUUUUGCCAGCUACCCCAAAGUUAAGUGACUGUUGGUGUAAUUUACCCAUAAGAAAAACCCAAAAUGCCAGGCCAACAUUGUUGAACAACAUCCAUCUGUCAAAUUGUGUAAAAAAACUUACAGCAAUAAAUUCAUGAGGGUUAUAUGUCUAUGAAUCAAUCGAUCCAUUUUGAAGUCCCUUUUAAGAACAAUCGGAUGAAUACUGGAAAUGAUAAUCCCAUGAAUAGAGAUAAACUAGAUGAGGAAGAUAUUGAUAUACUAAAUGCUAAUGUAGUAACUGAUCUUAUUGGUGGGAUUUCAUCUAUCAAAUUCCCUGAUCGUGUUUACUCCUUUGUCGAAUGAAUUAUGCCGAAUACGGUGGCAUUCAAGUUGUUGGGGAUAGAAAAUAAGUUUCAACACCUUGUUCAACAAGACUUAUGCCAUUUGGAAGCCAUAGCAAACAAUCUAGUUGAUGGAUUUAGAAAAAUAAUAUUAUACAGUUAAGUUUAAUAUGGAGUAGGAUUAUAUAAAAAUUCUUGCUGAGGGGCCUUGGAUCAUUUUUGGCCAAUACCUUUUAGUCCAACCAUGGUCACCAGGGUUUGCAACAAGGGGGAGGUUUUCACAUAUGGCGAUCAGUCUCGAUUUGGGAAGGCCACUAAUUUUGAAAGUAAAAUAGAAAACUUUAUUCAAAGCGUGGAGUAUGAAGCUCUACGAAACAUUUGUUUUAAAUGUGUGAGAUUGGUAACUUGCAAGACUUGUACCCUAGGCUAAUUAAAAAAAGGAAGAAUCUGAAGAAGCAAUAAAUAAACAGAUGUAGGAUUUGGUACAUUUAAGAUAGGCGCAAGUGGAAGAAAAGAGUUAUGAAACAUGGAUACUAGUGGAGCAUUGUACAUAUAUUCAAAUGAGGAAUAAUUCGAUCAACGAAAUCAACCCAAAAAGGGAACAACACAUUGAACCAAGAUAAUUUGGAUGGGAGUCAUAAUUUUCAGCUACUGUCAAUUUAUGGGACUUAAAUGGGGAUAAUGAGUUGGGAGGAGAGCAUGCCAUGCGAAAUAGUCAAAAGCAAAAAUAAUCAAGUGAACCCCCGGAAGACUAUGCCUUAAAAUUUCUAAAAGUAGGCGAAGUUGGAAAAAGCUAAGAUUCAUUCUACAGGUGAACCUAUAAAAGAGUUAAAAGUGGGCAAGGAAAUUCAGUGGAGACGCGCAAACCCAACUAAGCGAAAUUAAUAAAAAGGAUGUGAAAAUCUCAACAAUUGGAUUAGACAACACAAACAAUGCUUAGCAUUUUAAGAAGAUUUCUUAGAGCACAUUAUUGCCACAAUUUAUUGGAGGUUAUGGAAGGUAAGAAAUUUGUGAAUUUUUUUCUAUGGAGAAUCAUAAUGUGGAUGAAAUUAUUGCCAAUUGUCUGGCUUGGUCCAAGCUUAUUGGUAACAAUACAUGUUCAAGUAAUGGAGGCAAGUGCAAAGUCGUUAAACAAGUUGGAUUGUUGCUAUCACACCCGUAAAUGUUGAAGGAUAAAUACAACAGUAAUUUGGGGUAUCAAAUUAUAAAACUUUCUGUGUAUGGGGGUCUUAGUGUAAUUACAUGAAUCUGAUUAACUGAGUGGUAAUUAGUUAGAUUUCAACUAUUAGUUCUACUACUUUAGAACUAAUUUUUUUAGUGGGAAAUAUUAUGAUUAAGUGUAUUAAUAGUAUUGGCUGACUUGGGAUUAGGGAAACCAAUAGUGAAAAGAUUACAUAAUGGGUGAAUUCGUUCAUUCUGGUAUUCAUUUUUCCUUUUUUUUUUUCAUCUUUUUCUCUGGUUUAUUCUAUAAGAAAAGGAAAUUAAAGAGCGAUUUGCAUGAAAGGGAGAAUCUAAUAUGUUGGCCUAAAUAAUUGAGAAGAAAAAUGGUAAUCUUUCUAACUUUUUCAUAGCCUUCGAUCAAAGAAAAAGGACAAUCUCAGAAUUUCAACAUAAUUUAUUGUGAAUUGUAAUGGUUUAAGUAGUAGUUAGCAUUUAUAAGUCCUCUACAUGCAUAUAAAUUAAGGUUUUAUUACAUAUGUAUGUAUUUGUUUUGAUCUUUAUAUUGUUAUCAUGCUUAGGUAACCAAGAAGGAGAAGGCCUAAGGGAUAAAAGGAAGGCUAAGCAGGUGUAAGUUGUGUCAACUCCAAGUAUUUUGCUAGUGAGUUUUCUGAACUCAAAUCAUCGGUGUUGUAUUAUGUAUAUGUAACGGCCCAACUUUUAGUGGUGUCGGAAACAGUGGUUCGAGACCACAAAAUCCCACGAGUGAGCUCAUGAAUUUUAUUAUUUAAUAUUUACGAGACAAAAAUAAUUUUAGGAGAAUUUUUAAAAUAGUAAAUUGUGUGUUAUAAGAAUUUAUUAAGUUAUGUGGUUUAGAAAACGAGGUAUCGAGCCCUCGAUUUUAUAAAUCGAGCCAUAAUUAUUUUUAUAAAUAUUUACUGAGUGUCAUUAAGUUAGUAUUAAAGUAUCGUUAGAAAAUUUUAACGUUUUGGUAGUUAAUUUAUUAAAAAAGACUAAAUUGUAAAAGGUGCAAAACUUGUUAAUUAAAGAAACAGUGAUUAAAUAGCUCAAGUGAUAAAUAAGGAAGGACUAAAGGGAAAAUUUCCACACAAACGAUAGCUGAGGCGGCAUAAGCAGAGAAAUAACAAGUUAGUGUGAACUAAGGGUAAAAUUGUAAUUAAAGUACAAUUAGGAAAAAUAAAACAAAUAAGUGGUUGGAAGAUUUUCUAGACAUUUCUUCAUCAAUCUUUAGCCAAAAAUAGCCAUAGGAGAGAUUCUAAAGCUAGUUUUUCAUAUUUUUACUUCAUGUGAGUUCAAUUCUUAUUUAUUUCUUGUAAUUUUUAUGUUUUCGAGACUUUUACAAUUAGGUCCAACUAUCUAUUUCAUUAUUUUUUGAUUUUAUGGGUAAUUUUGAAAGUUACCAUUGAUGAUUGCUGGAUUUAGAGUUUUAAUUUUAUUAUAUGAUGAUUUUAUCAAGUGAUUUCAAUAUAAAUUGAUUUUAGGACUAAAUUGUGAAGAAUUUAAGAAUUAGGGUUUGCUAUUAAAUUUUUAUGUAUCAAAGGCUGUAAGAUAGCCUAGGGUACUUAGAUAAAUUUUCAAUUAAGAAAAAUUAGUUCAUUUGGUAGACUAAUUAAUAAGGGACUAAAUUAUAAAAAAUUAUAAAAAGUUGGGGUAAUUUUGUAAUUUUAAAAUUGAGGGGUAUUAAUUGUGAAGUGAAUUGAAAUUGAAAUAUAUACUAAUGAAUGAAUAAUUUUACAUUUUAGCUUAAGAGCUCGUAGAUAAUUUUGAAAAAGGGAAAUUAGCGAAAUUGUCCCUAAACUACUACAAUUUCUACAAUUUGACCCAGGUAAGUUCGUGUGGUUAAAAUUUAAUGUUAUUUUUUAAUUUGAUGAAUGGUAAUAUGUAUUUAUUUAUAUCAUUUGUUGAAAAUAAAAUUAUUGCUAAAGCUAUGACAUUGAAAUGAAUAUUCGAAAUGAACGGAACGCGAGAUUGAGUACAGUUGUUUAGUGCAAAGGAGGAAUUGACGGUAAAUUAUCCAAGUAAAAUGAGGUUCAGCAUUUGUUGCGAAGUUUCGUGUUUACUUUUCGUUUCACUCUCAUGAGCUUCAGUUAACUCAUAUGAGUUUUCGUUUAACCCUAAUGGGUUUCAGUUUAGCUCUUUUGAGCUUUAGUUUAACCCUUAAGGGUUUUUGUUCAGCUCUUAUGAGCUUCCGUUCAACCCUUAUGGGUUUCUAUUUAGCACUUAUGUGCUUCUGUGCAGCCUUCGGGCUUCUGUAUACGAUGUACUCAUAUCCGUAAGAUGCUCUCUGAAUUUUUAAGAGUUGGUAAGUGACGUAUGAAAUUUAUGUUUGAAGAUUUAAAGUUAUUAUUGCUAUCAAUUUGAAAUAAGUGAAUUCGUUAAUUGAAGUUGUGUUUGGCAGGAAUGGUAUAUUGAAUGAUUUACUUAAAUGAAUUGUUAUAUUAUGUUCGGUAAGAUUUAUGUUUAAAAGUCAAUGAACUUAUUGAGUUUCAUUAAGCUUACUUGUGUUGUUUAAUGUUCUUUGUAGAUUAUUGAGAAGUUGGGAGGUCAGAUCAACACAUCAAGCCACACUAUCCAACUUGUUCCAGUAGCUUUUGCAACGUAUAAUUGGUUUAUAUGGCAUGUAUAGGGCUGAAUUGGUUUGUGUAAAAGUUUAAAAUUACAUUUUGUUUAUACUUCCAAUUAAUUUAAGUAUGUGUGGUUUAAUCAUGUUGAUAUAUGUGUUUGGAUUAGUUAGGUGAUGGAUAAAUCAUAGUUAUAUGAGUGAAUUGAUUAAUGUGGUAAAUUAGAAUGUUAAGAUAUAUGUGAUAAUAUGACAAUGUUAGAGCUAGGAAUUGGUUGUUUUAAAGGCAUUGUUAUGGCCUAUAGGUAUGGAAUUUGAGAUGUUUAAGUUGAAGUCAAGAAUGGGUGAGAAAUGUGGCCAUAAAAUGACCUAUUUUUAUCCACACGGGUAGAGACAUGGGCGUGUGUCUCAACUGUGUGUGACACACGGCGUAUCACAUGGGCAAGUGGUCUGGUCGUGUGUCCCAUACAUUUUAAAAUUUCAAAAUAGAAUGCUCAUGUUUUUGCACACGGCCUAGCAAACAGGUGUGUGGCUUGGCCGUCCUGCACCUUACACACGGGCGUGUGAUUUGGAAAUGUGACACAAGUCAGAGAGUUACACGGAUAAGAACACAGGCUGGGACACGGCCGUGUGCCUUACAUUGUAUGCCCACACUGCCGCCCACACGGGCAUGUGUCUACUUCUAAGAAAAUUUUUGAGAUUUUGGGAAAAAUUCCCUAAGUAUCCAGUUUAGUCUCGAUUCACUUUUAAGGUGUAUAUUGGGCCUCAAGGGCUCAUACAAGGGACAAUAUGAAUAUUUUAUAAUUGGUUUCUGAUAAGUAUAUUAAAUGUCGUGAAAUAUUCGUAUUUAAUCCGUAAAGUUUGGUAAUGCUCUGUAACCAUGUUCUAGUGACUGAUAAGGGUUAGGGGUGUUACAGUAUAUCAAUAUUGUGUUGUUGUUGUAUGUUUGUUUCAUGUUCUACUGAUGAUGAGGGGUUGAAUUAUUGUGGGAUGUUAUCGUAUUUUUGAAUCAUGCAAAGUGAUGAUCUAUAGAUGCAUGUCUGGUUGUAUGUACAAGUUUCUUAUUUGAUGAACUGUCACUGGCAAACUAAUUUCUAAAGAGAUUAUCAUUGAUAUGAUCUGAUAGGUGAUAUGUUGGCAUGAUCUGUAUUGUAUUUUUAAUAGUAUGUUUAGUUGAGUGCUUGUUAUAUUGUUAGUCAUGAAAAUAAAUGUAUGCGGAGUAUAGAGGUAUGUAAUAGAGGAUGAAAGAUGAAGAAAUGUCAUAUUGUGAACCUUUUGCCACAUGUUCUUAGUUUUGCGGAGGUUCGAUUGGAUUGUACGGAGAUAUAUGCCCACAUGUAUGUGAUAACCCUAUGUGGGUUCUUUCAAAUAUAAGACUCUGUGGAGUCUAAGGGCUAAAGCCGCAUGUUUAUAAGCAAGUCCAUGGCUAUGGCGUAUGAAAUUUAUGGAAGCCCACCAGACUUGUUCUCUAGGUUUUAUGUCAAAGUUAUUUGUGGGACUUCACCAUACAAAGUCUGUGACAUAGUUCGUAUGUAUAAUUCCCCAUAUCUAUAAAUUUUCUUCUAUGAAUUCACAAGUAUAAGACCGUCAUAACUAUAAAUAUGCUUCUAUGAAUCCGCAUGUCUAAGUUUGCCAUAUCUAUGAAUCUUCUUUUAUGAAGUCACAUGUAUAAGUCUACCAUAUCUAUGAAUUCUUCUUCUACGAGUUCGCAUGUAUGAGUUUGCUUAUAAAAGUCCGCAUCUAAAAAUCCACAAAAAAGUGUCCACAGGAUUGUUGACCAAGUAAUCCAAAUUUACUCUCUCCUCGAUAGGUUUUCUUCUAAGAUUAUAUGCAACAAGUCUGGACGAAGAGACUAUAUGCUUUAUGAUCUUUCAUAGAAGGAAUUCUCAUACAUUAAGUAUUGUGCCUCUAUAUUGUUCAAACCUAAGCACAAGCUAUGGAAUAUGAUUACACAAGUUUCGUCUAAGUGAAUUCUGUAACAAAUUUUUAAUUUUGAAAUAAAAAGGGAAGUAACUUUAUUUUAGAAUUAACUGAGUUCCUUAUGAACUUACCAUGUUUCAGGUAAUCUAAACCGUUGUUCGUAGGAACAAGGGAACUAAGCCAGAAUCCUUGAAGUCUAGUAUGAGCACGUCACCUUUCGUUUUGUAACAUGUGUACAUACUAGGACAACUUGUAACCCUAAACUUCUGUUUUGCAUAUGAAUAAGAACUUUUUAAAUUUAGUUCAAUUUGUAAUUUGACGCAUAAGGAUAAAUUGACAGUUCCCUAUAAAAAGAUAAAUAUUAUUAAAAGUUUGUUUUUAUAUAUAUAUAUAUAUAUAUAUAUAUAUAUAUAUAUAUAUUAUAUAUUGUGAUUUCACGGUAAAACACUAAGGAACUGUUGUAUGGUUAUUAAAUUAUUUUGUAUAUGUUGAUAGUUGAAAUCUCGAAGGGUCAUCAUUCGACCCAUCAACUGAGUGUUACAAUUGCUAUUGAAUUGGAUUAGAUAAAAAUUAAUAUUGAUGGAACAAUCGAAAAGGCACUACGACUUCUGUACAUAGGAGGAGUACUUCGCAACUCAAACCAUAUUUGGAUUGUUGGUUUCAAUAGAAAUGAGAGAAUUUGUUUGAUCACCCAAAUAAAUUGUGGGCAUCUUACAAUGGAUUAAAUCUAACAUGGGAGAUAAUUAAUUAAUAUUAGCAUGAGAGAUAAGCUUCAGGAAAAUCGUGCUUAAGACAAGUGACUAAUCAAUAGUAAAUAUGCUUAAUGGAAUGACCAUAUAUGCCAAUAGAAUUUCCUUAAAAGCGUCUAGGAAUUGAAGAAAAGACAAUGAGAUGUGAAUAAGCAAAUUUAAUAGUUAAAUACACGGCGAGGAACUUCAACGAUGAUUCAUAACAAGUUUGUGUCUUUUCUGCCCCACUGAUUACUGUUUGACACAAGUUACUUAGUGAUAGUAUGGGGAUUUCAUAUGAGAGAAAAUGUUUUUAAAUUUAGUUUGUUGUAACUUACUAGGGAUGAAAAAAAAAACCCCCCAAAUCCAAUGGGACUUGAUUCUUUAGGGUCAAUUUUUAUUUUUAUUUUGAAAAAUCAAGUUUAGGGAGAGUCAAAUUGGGUGAAAUUAGUAAAAUAGUAGAGUGAGGUUUGAGGUAAACCCGCCCCCAGAUAUAAACGAAAAUACCCCUAAUAUAUACACAUAUAUUUAGUUGUUGCUUUGAACAAAUAAACAUAUAAAUAUAUUAAGUUUUAAGUCUAAACCCAAAAAUAAAAUCUUAUUUGCUUCAAAAUUAAAAGUAAAACAAUUAUAGAUGUAUUCUUAUUUGCUUUAAAAUAAAAAUAAAACAAUUAAAUUAAAUUUAAAUCGAGACAAGGAGGGGCGGAAUCAGGUCUUCUAUUAAAUUUCAGGUUCGAGUUCGAGCAAUUUUUUUCGUAAGAGUCGGGGUCGAGCAAACUUCAAUUCAUGUCAAGCAAGUUUCCAGACGAAACGAGAAAAAGUCUAUCUCGUCCCGCCCCAUUGCCAUUCCUAUAACUUAGGGCUUCGCCCUUUUCCUAAUACCAAAUUUUUUUUCAUAAUUUUGACCUUUUUUAUACAAUUCAAGUUCAAUCUCACACAACCAUAUACACAGGCUACACUACACUACUCUACCACACAGGGAAACCUAUGAAUCAAACAUUGUAUCGAGCAUUGAUGAACCCACUUCAGCAAAUGGGCCUACUACUUGGGUUCAAUUCUUACCUAUUUAAUCUAAUUGAUUAUUUGAAAAAUAAUAUCAAAACAAAAAUAAUAUAUCCAUUAAUAUGACGCAUAAUUGUGCUCAUUUCAACUCUUCAAUUUUUUUAAUUGUGGCCAGAUGAAAGUGAAGAAAAGUAUGAUUGGAGGGGGAAAAGUGGAUAAACUGAGUACAUCUGUAACUAAAUUUAACAUAAAAUGUUAAAGUAAAUCAACUGCUAGUUGCAAACAGAAGAAACGAGAGCAAUGUACAAAGACAAAGCAAACAAGACAAUGCACAAUGUUGGCAAUUUAAGGUAUAUGUUCAGCAUAACAAUAACUAGUUUACUUUUAACUUCUGUUGUUUUCAAGUCACCAUAUUUUGUUUAUUCAACCUUAGACACACAACAGAAAAAAGGUUUGAUAAGUUCUAAGUUUAACAUACCAAACAUGAAACGAUGUGGAUUAGCAGUACUUAAUAACAAAACGGCAAUGCUGAAAGAUAACACGCGCUUAAUUGUCACACACUUCUAGUUCUUAAC
This 18283-nucleotide long non-coding RNA is filed under the name Gossypium raimondii (Peruvian cotton). Its description in RNAcentral is "long non-coding RNA (GRAI_LNC006140)". Lineage: Eukaryota; Viridiplantae; Streptophyta; Magnoliopsida; Malvales; Malvaceae. The record is from RNAcentral.